Pelobates cultripes (western spadefoot toad) is the source of this 302-nucleotide non-coding RNA. Lineage: Eukaryota; Metazoa; Chordata; Amphibia; Anura; Pelobatidae. The record is from the annotation of a GenBank genome assembly.
GUGCCCUAUACACCCUGUUCCAAAUUAUUAUGCACAUUAUAUUUAAGUGUCACAAAGAUUAACUAUUUUGUUUUUCAGUUUAACUCAUGGAUGGCAUUGUGUCUCAGGGCUCUUUUGAUCACUGAAAACAAUCUCGGACACCUGUGAUAAUUAGAUUGCCAGGUGAGCCCAGUUUAAGGAAAAACUACUAACGGACGGUGUUCCACAUUAUUAAGCAGAGCACCAUUUUCAUGCAAUAUGGGGAAGAAAAAGGAUCUCUCUGCUGCCAAAAAGCGUGACAUAGUUCAAUGCCUUGGACGGGA